This 301-nucleotide ribosomal RNA is filed under the name uncultured bacterium. RNAcentral describes it as "partial 16S ribosomal RNA". It matches the Rfam family "Bacterial small subunit ribosomal RNA", at positions 509 to 807 of the family's 1533-position model. The record is from RNAcentral.
CAGUAGCCGCGGGAAUACAGAGGAUGCAAGCGUUAUCCGGAAUGAUUGGGCGUAAAGGGCUCGCAGGCGGUUUCUUAAGUCUGAUGUGAAAGCCCCCGGCUCAACCGGGGAGGGUCAUUGGAAACUGGGAAACUCGAGUGCAGAAGAGGAGAGUGGAAUUCCACGUGUAGCGGUGAAAUGCGUAGAGAUGUGGAGGAACACCAGUGGCGAAGGCGACUCUCUGGUCUGUAACUGUCGCUGAGGAGCGAAAGCGUGGGGAGCGAACAGGAUUAGAUACCCCUGUAGUCCCUGUCUCUUAUAC